UCCUAGGGAGGCAGCAGUGGGGAAUAUUGCACAAUGGGGGGAACCCUGAUGCAGCGACGCCGCGUGGGUGAAGGAGUACUUCGGUACGUAAAGCCCUAUCAGCAGGAAAGAAAAUGACGGUACCUGACUAAGAAGCCCCGGCUAACUACGUGCCAGCAGCCGCGGUAAUACGUAGGGGGCAAGCGUUAUCCGGAUUUACUGGGUGUAAAGGGAGUGUAGAUGGCAGUGCAAGUCCGGAGUGAAAGCCCGGGGCUCAACCCUGGGACUGUUCUGGAAACUGUAAAGCUGGAGUGAGGAAGGGGAAG
Molecule: ribosomal RNA, 305 nt
Filed under: uncultured bacterium
Lineage: Bacteria
Description: bacterial SSU rRNA
Rfam family: Bacterial small subunit ribosomal RNA
Source: RNAcentral